GAGACUCUGUGCGCGUGCAUAUCAAUAAGCGGAGGAAAAGAAACUAACAAGGAUUCCCUUAGUAACGGCGAGUGAAGCGGGAAGAGCUCAAAUUUGAAAUCUUCAAGGUUCUACCUUGACGAAUUGUAGUUUAAAGAAGUGUUUUCUGUUAGAUGAGUAGCAAAAGUUCCUUGGAAUGGGACAUCAUAGAGGGUGAGAAUCCCGUAUUUGGUUAUUCAUUCUAGCUUUGUGAUACACUUUCAAAGAGUCGGAUUGUUUGGGAAUGCAGUCCAAAAUGGGUGGUAAAUUUCAUCUAAAGCUAAAUAUUGGCGAGAGACCGAUAGCGAACAAGUACCGUGAGGGAAAGAUGAAAAGAACUUUGAAAAGAGAGAUAAACAGUACGUGAAAUUGUCAAAAGGGAAGCGUUUGACACCAGUGUUGUUUAGUUGAAAAUCAAUUCAAUAGUUUUUGAUUCUAAGUAGUAUUGACUUCAUCAGCUUGCUGCUUUCUUCUCAGAAAUUAUUGAAUGCACUUUUCAGUUAACAAGUCAACAUCAAUUUCUUUUGUUGUAAAAGGGUAAGAGGAAGGUGGCUUGCGCUUCGGCUCAAGUGUUUAUAGCCUCUUAUCUCUGCAAUCGGAGAGAUUGAGGUCUGCAGCGUAGAUCCUUCGGGGUUAGAUACAUUGGUGCUAAGCUAUAGCCUUGUAUAGACAACUUGUUGACUAUGCUCAGUCAUGUAGCUUACUCGCUGAUGCUAUUUUACCUACGCUUAGGAUGUUGACUGAUAUGUAGUCGU
RNAcentral lists this ribosomal RNA (773 nucleotides) under uncultured Neocallimastigales. RNAcentral describes it as "partial large subunit ribosomal RNA". It matches the Rfam family "Eukaryotic large subunit ribosomal RNA", at positions 23 to 643 of the family's 3401-position model. Lineage: Eukaryota; Fungi; Neocallimastigomycota; Neocallimastigomycetes; Neocallimastigales. The record is from RNAcentral.